Rosa rugosa (rugosa rose) is the source of this 1013-nucleotide long non-coding RNA. RefSeq lists it as uncharacterized. The record is from RefSeq and is a predicted model, not a curated record. The transcript is spliced from 3 exons. NCBI's taxonomy places the organism in Eukaryota, Viridiplantae, Streptophyta, Magnoliopsida, Rosales, Rosaceae.
UGUAGUUAGUGGUACGUCACAGGUAUUAAAAAAAAUUAUUAAAAAAAAAAAAUCAAGAAUGUGUGACAAAAUCUGCCAAUCUGGUACCCGUCUUUCCUCCGCCACUACCCAGUUCCUUGUCACCACCCCACCCCCCCAAGUUCCCAGCUUUACAUACCCAAUACAACAACAACGCCAGAUCAAGUAGACUCAGAGCGACCCAGAUACUCCAUUGUCACAAUGAAUCAAGCUUUUCUCCUCAUUCUCACCACACUAACUGUCUCAGGCUUGAUCAACUUGGCAGUGGCUGAAGGUGGGUUUUGCUCGGCUGCUCCUUCCAUCAUCGACUCGGGUUCGGACACCAGUCAGCUGUAUUGGAAGGCCACCAAUCCCACACUUACUCCUUCUCAUCUUCAAGUGUAACUGAUGAUUAAGAGAACAAGUAUUAUGCACAAAUAUGUAUGCCCGAUUACACUGCUGGAGAUUCUCGCCCUCCUUCUCCCUCAUGGACAAGUAGCCGUUACUGGAAGAAGAACCGGGUGGCGACGAUCCGAUAGUAAUCAGUGUGGCCCUGGCCUCGUCCUCGUCGCCUUUGGACGGCCAGCCGGUCUCGGAGAUGUGAACCAGAAGCGUCUUGUAGCCGAGGGAUCCGAGAAUCGCUUGGUCAAGCUUUUGUUGGAUCUGAUGCUCUUCGAUCUUCGUCAAGUUCAAAUCCAUGAGAAUUUUCUGCUCUGUUUCAAAUCGUUAACUUGAAUUUCCCUGAGUUUCAGGCUAUGCAGAAAAACCGCUCGAAGAUCCAAGGCGGCGUGAAAUUCAACAACUGGAAAACUCGCUUCGGCGUGAAGGUAGCCAUGAAGACGUCGUUUGCUGCCUCCACGUCCUCGGGAGUCCAUUCAGUACCAAUGGCCUUGGCUCCAUGCAGUUGGGUGAAUUUUACAUAAUCCAUGAUCCAAUUCUUUUAGGAGCAGCCGCAUCAUCUAGCAUAACUUGUUGCCUUUUUAGUCACUAACGAAGGCCAAAUCGCCGUUAACAUU